AACCCAUGGUGAGGGCACCUUCUCAGUAAGCUCUUGUAUCUCUCUCAUGCAUCAUAGAGGGUUUUUAAAUCCAUCUGCACAAAAGAAGAGAUAUCAUUACGUAAUUU
Gossypium arboreum is the source of this 107-nucleotide non-coding RNA. Lineage: Eukaryota; Viridiplantae; Streptophyta; Magnoliopsida; Malvales; Malvaceae. The record is from Rfam.